AUCUGGCUGGUCCAGUGGUAGAGCAUGAGACUCUUGAUCUCAGGGUUGUGAGUUCGAGUCCCAUGUUGGGGG
This 72-nucleotide transfer RNA is filed under the name Ailuropoda melanoleuca (giant panda). It matches the Rfam family "tRNA". Rfam says of the family: Transfer RNA (tRNA) molecules are approximately 80 nucleotides in length. Their secondary structure includes four short double-helical elements and three loops (D, anti-codon, and T loops). Further hydrogen bonds mediate the characteristic L-shaped molecular structure. tRNAs have two regions of fundamental functional importance: the anti-codon, which is responsible for specific mRNA codon recognition, and the 3' end, to which the tRNAs corresponding amino acid is attached (by aminoacyl-tRNA synthetases). tRNAs cope with the degeneracy of the genetic code in two manners: having more than one tRNA (with a specific anti-codon) for a particular amino acid; and 'wobble' base-pairing, i.e. permitting non-standard base-pairing at the 3rd anti-codon position. Lineage: Eukaryota; Metazoa; Chordata; Mammalia; Carnivora; Ursidae. The record is from Rfam by way of RNAcentral.